CCUACGGUGGGCAGCAGUGAGGAAUAUUGGUCAAUGGGCGGAAGCCUGAACCAGCCAAGUAGCGUGCGGGCUGAAGGCCCUACGGGUCGUAAACCUCUUUUGUCAGGGAGCAAAGUCACCCACGUGUGGGUGUUGGAGAGUACCUGAAGAAAAAGCAUCGGCUAACUCCGUGCCAGCAGCCGCGGUAAUACGGAGGAUGCGAGAGUUAUCCGGAUUUAUUGGGUUUAAAGGGUGCGUAGGCGGGUUAUCAAGUCAGCGGUAAAAUCGUGGAGCUCAACGCCAUCCAGCAGUUGACACUGAUGAUCUUGAGUGGGCGAGAAGUAUGCGGAAUGCGUGGUGUAGCGGUGAAAUGCAUAGAUAUCACGCAGAACUCCGAUUGCGAAGGAAGCAUACCGGCGCCCGACUGACGCUGAAGCACGAAAGCGUGGGUAUCGAACAGGAUUAGAUACCCUUGUAGUC
This 459-nucleotide ribosomal RNA is filed under the name uncultured bacterium. RNAcentral's name for it is "partial 16S ribosomal RNA". It matches the Rfam family "Bacterial small subunit ribosomal RNA", at positions 338 to 795 of the family's 1533-position model. The record is from RNAcentral.